AUAAACAAUUUUUUAGAUUUUAUGCAUAGUCAAGCUCUCGUCAAAGAAAUCGAGGGCAUGCUUGGGAGCAGGGUUUGGUUGCCGCCACCGUGCAUUAUCUUUCAAAAGCUAGAAAGUGUAGCUUCCACACAACCGGGCUUCGGGACCUGAGAUUUUUAAAGAUGCACCGCGGAUCCAAACAAGUGCCAAGUACAAUACUAAUUCAUAUAUAAAGCGAAAACAAGUGAACAAAUAAGGGUAGGAUUAUAAUUGGAACAGACACAUUAGCACUUUCAUGACAGGUGAUGCCUUUGUUGGUCUUUCCUAACUAUUGCAGCUUUGUUCCUGGGUGUGUCACAAUUCACAU
RNAcentral lists this long non-coding RNA (346 nucleotides) under Medicago truncatula (barrel medic). RNAcentral's name for it is "long non-coding RNA (MTRU_LNC000004)". Lineage: Eukaryota; Viridiplantae; Streptophyta; Magnoliopsida; Fabales; Fabaceae. The record is from RNAcentral.